This 541-nucleotide ribosomal RNA is filed under the name uncultured bacterium. RNAcentral's name for it is "partial 16S ribosomal RNA". It matches the Rfam family "Bacterial small subunit ribosomal RNA", at positions 355 to 888 of the family's 1533-position model. The record is from RNAcentral.
UGGGGAAUUUUGGACAAUGGGCGAAAGCUUGAUCCAGCAAUGCCGCGUGUGUGAAGAAGGCCUUCGGGUUGUAAAGCACUUUUGUCCGGAAAGAAAUCCUUGGCUCUAAUACAGUCGGGGGAUGACGGUACCGGAAGAAUAAGCACCGGCUAACUACGUGCCAGCAGCCGCGGUAAUACGUAGGGUGCAAGCGUUAAUCGGAAUUACUGGGCGUAAAGCGUGCGCAGGCGGUUUGCUAAGACCGAUGUGAAAUCCCCGGGCUCAACCUGGGAACUGCAUUGGUGACUGGCAGGCUAGAGUAUGGCAGAGGGGGGUAGAAUUCCACGUGUAGCAGUGAAAUGCGUAGAGAUGUGGAGGAAUACCGAUGGCGAAGGCAGCCCCCUGGGCCAAUACUGACGCUCAUGCACGAAAGCGUGGGGAGCAAACAGGAUUAGAUACCCUGGUAGUCCACGCCCUAAAACGAUGUCAACUAGUUGUUGGGGAUUCAUUUCCUUAGUAACGUAGCUAACGCGUGAAGUUGACCGCCUGGGGAGUACGGUCG